GAGAAAAAGAGUUUAUAAUGCUACAAAAUGAACAGGAGAUAAGUCAACUGAAAAAAGAAAUUGAAAGAACACAACAAAGGAUGAAAGAAAUGGAGAGUGUUAUGAAAGAGCAAGAACAGUACAUUGCCACUCAGUACAAGGAGGCCAUAGAUUUGGGGCAAGAAUUGAGGCUGACCCGGGAGCAGGUGCAGAACUCUCAUACAGAAUUGGCAGAGGCUCGUCAUCAGCAAGUCCAAGCACAGAGAGAAAUAGAAAGGCUCUCUAGUGAACUGGAGGAUAUGAAGCAACUCUCUAAAGAGAAAGAUGCUCAUGGAAACCAUUUAGCUGAAGAACUGGGGGCUUCUAAAGUACGUGAAGCUCAUUUAGAAGCAAGAAUGCAAGCAGAAAUCAAGAAAUUGUCAGCAGAAGUAGAAUCUCUCAAAGAAGCUUAUCAUAUGGAGAUGAUUUCACAUCAAGAGAACCAUGCAAAGUGGAAGAUUUCUGCUGACUCUCAAAAGUCUUCUGUUCAGCAACUAAACGAACAGUUAGAGAAGGCAAAACUGGAAUUAGAAGAAGCUCAGGAUACUGUAAGCAAUUUGCAUCAACAAGUCCAAGAUAGGAAUGAAGUAAUUGAAGCUGCAAAUGAAGCAUUACUUACUAAAGUAAGUAAACAUAUAAAAGUAAUAAAGCAUAUCUAUGAAAACGUAA
RNAcentral lists this small RNA (687 nucleotides) under Pan troglodytes (chimpanzee). RNAcentral describes it as "retained intron". Lineage: Eukaryota; Metazoa; Chordata; Mammalia; Primates; Hominidae. The record is from RNAcentral.